This 492-nucleotide ribosomal RNA is filed under the name uncultured bacterium. RNAcentral's name for it is "partial 16S ribosomal RNA". It matches the Rfam family "Bacterial small subunit ribosomal RNA", at positions 29 to 507 of the family's 1533-position model. The record is from RNAcentral.
AGUGAACGCUGGCGGUAGGCCUAACACAUGCAAGUCGAACGGCAGCACAGUAAGAGCUUGCUCUUACGGGUGGCGAGUGGCGGACGGGUGAGGAAUACAUCGGAAUCUACUUUUUCGUGGGGGAUAACGUAGGGAAACUUACGCUAAUACCGCAUACGACCUACGGGUGAAAGCAGGGGAUCUUCGGACCUUGCGCGAUUGAAUGAGCCGAUGUCGGAUUAGCUAGUUGGCGGGGUAAGGGCCCACCAAGGCGACGAUCCGUAGCUGGUCUGAGAGGAUGAUCAGCCACACUGGAACUGGGACACGGUCCAGACUCCUACGGGAGGCAGCAGUGGGGAAUAUUGGACAAUGGGCGCAAGCCUGAUCCAGCCAUACCGCGUGGGUGAAGAAGGCCUUCGGGUUGUAAAGCCCUUUUGUUGGGAAAGAAAAGCAGCAGGUUAAUACCCCGCUGUUCUGACGGUACCCAAAGAAUAAGCACCGGCUAACUUCGUG